GAUGAACGCUGGCGGCGUGCUUAACACAUGCAAGUCGAACGGAAAGGCCUCUGCUUGCAGGGGUACUCGAGUGGCGAACGGGUGAGUAACACGUGGGUGAUCUGCCCUGCACUUCGGGAUAAGCCUGGGAAACUGGGUCUAAUACCGGAUAGGACAAUUGUUUGGAUGCUGUUGUGGAAAGUUUUUCGGUGUGGGAUGAGCUCGCGGCCUAUCAGCUUGUUGGUGGGGUAAUGGCCUACCAAGGCGUCGACGGGUAGCCGGCCUGAGAGGGUGUACGGCCACAUUGGGACUGAGAUACGGCCCAGACUCCUACGGGAGGCAGCAGUGGGGAAUAUUGCACAAUGGGCGCAAGCCUGAUGCAGCGACGCCGCGUGGGGGAUGACGGCCUUCGGGUUGUAAACUCCUUUCGCUAGGGACGAAGCGUUUUUGUGACGGUACCUGGAGAAGAAGCACCGGCUAACUACGUG
Molecule: ribosomal RNA, 467 nt
Filed under: uncultured bacterium
Lineage: Bacteria
Description: partial 16S ribosomal RNA
Rfam family: Bacterial small subunit ribosomal RNA
Source: RNAcentral